CGAACGUAAAAUAGACUGUAGGUGAAAGCUUACAUCUCUUCGGAGCAUUUUACGAGGUGCUGCAUGGUUGUCGUCAGCUCGUGCCGUGAGGUGUCGGGUUAAGUCCCAUAACGAGCGCAACCCUACCUUUAGUUGCCAUCAGGUAAUGCUGGGGACUCUAAAGGAACUGCCUACGCAAGUAGUGAGGAAGCGGGGAUGACGUCAAAUCAGCACGGCCCUUACGUCCAGGGCUACACACGUGCUACAAUGGCCGAUACAGAGAGCAGCUACCUGGUGACAGGAUGCAAAUCUCCAAAGUCGGUCUCAGUUCGGAUCGGAGUCUGCAACCCGACUCCGUGAAGUUGGAUUCGCUAGUAAUCGCGCAUCAGCCAUGGCGCGGUGAAUACGUUCCCGGGCCUU
Molecule: ribosomal RNA, 399 nt
Filed under: uncultured Sphingobacteriales bacterium
Lineage: Bacteria; Pseudomonadati; Bacteroidota; Sphingobacteriia; Sphingobacteriales
Description: bacterial SSU rRNA
Rfam family: Bacterial small subunit ribosomal RNA
Source: RNAcentral